This 272-nucleotide long non-coding RNA is filed under the name Elaeis guineensis (African oil palm). RNAcentral describes it as "long non-coding RNA (EGUI_LNC082473)". Lineage: Eukaryota; Viridiplantae; Streptophyta; Magnoliopsida; Arecales; Arecaceae. The record is from RNAcentral.
CUUAUACAUGCUUUAGAUCAGAUCUAAACUAACAUAAAAGAUCUAUGAUAUAAAAAAUUUACAUAUAAAAUCUGACGUAAAGCAAAAACUGCAUCGAUCACAUCGAUGUCCUGAAUCAAAUCUAACCUUUAGAUUACAUUGAUUGAGUUCAGAACUCAUCACCUUAUCACAGAUCGAUGAUCACUACUAUUGAUAGGCAUGGUAUGAAGCUCUCACUAAUGUCGAGUAGCCAUACAGACCAUUCGAUCUCUAUAGAUCGUCCACUCGAAGCC